Long non-coding RNA from Aphis gossypii (cotton aphid), 2598 nucleotides. RefSeq lists it as uncharacterized. Lineage: Eukaryota; Metazoa; Arthropoda; Insecta; Hemiptera; Aphididae. The transcript has 3 exons. The record is from RefSeq and is a predicted model, not a curated record.
CGUACCUGUAAAAAACAAUAUAUUAUUACCUAUGGGAAGUAAGAAUAUUUUUAUACAUAUAUUAUACUGCUUAUAUUUAAUUCUUUAGUUUGAGUAACUAACAAAAAUUAACUUCUAGUUUAGUAAUAGGCAUAUAAAGUAAAAUAAGACAAAUGAUUAAUAAUAUCAAUUGAAAAUUUUGCUGUUUUAUGUUGGUAUCCCUGUUGUUACAAGAUUGAUCAUAACUAAGUACUUUUCUACAUUAAUAAGUAUUCAAAAUUAUAUAAGUUUAAAAAUUGUUAUAAUUAGGUAUUAAUUACUGUAUGUUGUGACACAGUCAAAAAAUAAAACAUCUUUGUGACUCAACAUUUAUUUUUGUAACCUAAGGUUCCAAUGCUUUAACUCAUGGUUACUUAGUAAAACCUCUUCGAAAUAGAAUACUUGAUUCUGAACUUUGACUUUAUGUAUUUUCACUAAAUAUACACUAUAGAAAAGUCAAAUCAAGUUGGUGUGUAAAACUGAGUACUACAGAGUGUAGUUUUCUGUUUUAAUUUAUUUAAACAUAAGAAUAUCAUUAUUUAAUGCCAGUGUUUAAUAUAUUUAAAAUAUAUACUAAUAUAUAUUUACUUAAAGCUGUUUUAUGUAAAUUAUUUAAAGCGGUGCGAUAUGAAUCAAUCUAAUCAAUAAGGUUUUAUUUCUUGUAAGAAAAUGUAUUUUGUUUUAGAUAAUGUUUAUCAUUAUUUUCUUUUAGAAGCACUAUUUUAACAUACAUAUUUUAUUUUCAUUCAUUGUUAUACCUUCACAAAAUAUUAUACAUGUUACAUUUACAAAAGUUUAAUCUAACGCAAUUUAUGCUGAGUAGGUACUUCACUACAAAAAUUAAUGUAAUUAUAACAUAAUAAAUAAUUCAAUAUACAGUCUUUGUUAAGUUACAGGGAAGGUUGAAACAUUUUUAGUAAUGGUCUAGUUUAUUUUUUCAUAUGGCUUAUAGUCUGUGAGUAGGCCUAGUUCGGAUGUCUAUUUGGGCACCCGUAAGUUUCUGCCAUACCUGAUUGGAGGAUGGGAGUCACUCUCUCUAGACUAAUUACCUGCCCAGAGAGAAAAGCUGUCCGUGACCGGGAUUCGGACCAGUGACGGCACACAUUAAAACCAACGCUGUAAUUCGCUUGGCCACUCUGUUCCCCAGUGUCUAGUUGUAAUGCAAUAACACAGACAUGUAUAUAAAUAUGUGUAGGUAUUAUCAAUUUUAAGAAAAAAAAUAUUACAGGAGCUUUUACUCCUCGUUUUACUCAAAAACAUUAACAAUAAUAAACAGAAAUAUUAUCAAUUCUAUAAAAAUAAUUCAUUACUAUUAACCAUUUAUCUCAUUAAUCAUUAUACAAUAUAGGGUUUGCUACUAUUUAAAACAUGAGAUACAAGUAUUCAAUAGCGGGUAAUGGCAAUAUCUUAGUAUACCCAGGUAUUAUAAUAUUUAUUAAUUAUACAUUUGCAGGACAAAACCACUAUAAAACACAUAAUGACAACAUAAUACUUCUAUUGGAUGUGAAAACAGAUUCUGAGCGGAGACGGUCUAUUAGUGUCAUCCGAGGUGUCAUCUUACAUCACUAAUAUUACUGUAUGUCAGCAGGGUUGGGUAAGAUACUCAAAAGCAUUAUCGAGAUAUAAAAUACUUUGCUUUGAUGUAUUGCGAUACAAAAUACAAGACAAAAUUGUAUCUAAGAUACUGUUCAACCUUGUAAGUCAGGUAUGUCAAACUCAAAGUAUCAAGUGGAUAAAAUAUAUUGGAUAGUUUACUAUAAGGGCUGUACAUAAAAAUAGUCUUGUACAACAUUUUUCUAUUUUGUUCUUUACAUUUACAAAAACAGCAGGUAAAAAAAGAAAACAACUACCUACCUACAAAAAAAUGAACACCAAUACUAAAAAAUAAUUCUUUUUGGAUUAUAUAUUAGGUAUUUUGGUACUGGUUUGUUAUAGGCUCGCCGGGGCAAGUGAAAACUUUAGCACCACCAUUCAUAUAACAAUAAGUAUAUUGUAUAAAUAUAAAAUAAUGAGAUGGAAAAUACGUACCAUAACUAUAAGGUGCCUACCAUAAAUGUACAUCACAAAUAAUCAAUAAUAUAAUAAGCUGAUAUUAUACCGAUCAAACAUCACAAAUUUGUUAACAGAAGUGCCCGAUAUAAAUGCCGGAUUUCAAUUACUCCAGACUACAAAUAUAAUUGAAAUGACCAAAACAUGUGAAAAUGGCCACAAAAUGUUUUUAAAGGAUCGAGAUGGCGAUGUCAAUGAAGGGAUUAUCAUAAAAAGAAAGGUAUUAGGGUAAAUAAUUGGCUGAAAGGUUCGAGGUUGCCGAUAAAUAAUAUUGUGUAUAAAUUACAUUGAUACCUAUUAUUAACCCAUAUAUUAGACAUGAUUUUAUAAUUUUUUCUGACAGUUGGAAAGCUUAUGCUAAUUUGAAACAUGGUUUUCAACAUAAUCAAGUGAAUCAUAAAUAUGAUUUCGGGGAUCCUAACUCAAGAACCCACACGCAAAAUAUUGAAGAAUGUGGGGUUUGGCCAAAUGGGGCAACAAAAAACGUAGAGGGACAGAUAGAAAUAUUUACUCGUACUAAGCAAAAUUUAU